Molecule: ribosomal RNA, 298 nt
Filed under: uncultured bacterium
Lineage: Bacteria
Description: partial 16S ribosomal RNA
Rfam family: Bacterial small subunit ribosomal RNA
Source: RNAcentral
GGCCUACGGGGGGCAGCAGUGGGGAAUAUUGCACAAUGGGGGAAACCCUGAUGCAGCAACGCCGCGUGAGUGAAGAAGUAUUUCGGUAUGUAAAGCUCUAUCAGCAGGGAAGAAGAUGACGGUACCUGAGUAAGAAGCCCCGGCUAACUACGUGCCAGCAGCCGCGGUAAUACGUAGGGGGCAAGCGUUAUCCGGAUUUACUGGGUGUAAAGGGAGCGUAGACGGCCAUGCAAGCCAGGGGUGAAAGCCCGGGGCCCAACCCCGAGACUGCCCUUGGAACUGCAUGGCUGGAGUGCGG